UGGCGCAGCUAACGCAUUAAGUUAUCCGCCUGGGGAGUACGGCCGCAAGGUUAAAACUCAAAGGAAUUGACGGGGGCCUGCACAAGCGUGGAGCAUGUGGUUUAAUUCGAAGCAACGCGCAGAACCUUACCAGCGUUUGACAUGGUAGGACGACUUCCAGAGAUGGAUUUCUUCCCUUCGGGGACCUACACACAGGUGCUGCAUGGCUGUCGUCAGCUCGUGUCGUGAGAUGUUGGGUUAAGUCCCGCAACGAGCGCAACCCUCGACUUUAGUUACCAUCAUUAAGUUGGGUACUUUAAAGUAACCGCCGGUGAUAAGCCGGAGGAAGGUGGGGAUGACGUCAAGUCCUCAUGGCCCUUACGCGCUGGGCUACACACGUGCUACAAUGGCAAGUACAGUGGGCAGCAAUCCCGCGAGGGUGAGCUAAUCUCCAAAACUUGUCUCAGUUCGGAUUGUUCUCUGCAACUCGAGAGCAUGAAGGCGGAAUCGCUAGUAAUCG
Molecule: ribosomal RNA, 499 nt
Filed under: Sphingomonas sp.
Lineage: Bacteria; Pseudomonadati; Pseudomonadota; Alphaproteobacteria; Sphingomonadales; Sphingomonadaceae
Description: bacterial SSU rRNA
Rfam family: Bacterial small subunit ribosomal RNA
Source: RNAcentral